AUGAACGCUGGCGGCAUGCCUAAUACAUGCAAGUCGAACGAACUUCCGUUAAUGAUAGUUGAUGCUUGCAUUAACUUGACUUAACAUCGAAGUGAGUGGCGAACUGGUGAGUAACACGUGGGAAACUUGCCCUGAAGUAGGGGAUAACAUUUGGAAACAAGUGCUAAUACCGUAUAACAAUGAAAACCGCAUGGUUUUCAUUUCAAAGAUGGUUUUCAUCGCUUCAGGAUGGUCCCGCGGCGUAUUAGCUAGUUGGUGGGGUAACGGCCUACCAAGGCGAUGAUACGGAGCCGACCUGAGAGGGUAAGCGGCCACAAUGGGACUGAGACACGGCCCAUACUCCUACGGGAGGCAGCAGUAGGGAAUCUUCCACAAUGGACGCAAGUCUGAUGGAGCAAUGCCGCGUGAGUGAAGAAGGGUUUCGGCUCGUAAAACUCUGUUGUUAAAGAAGAACGAGUAUGAUAGGAAAUGCUCAUACUGUGACGGUAUUUAACUAGAAAGUCACGGCUAACUACGUGC
Molecule: ribosomal RNA, 519 nt
Filed under: uncultured Bacillota bacterium
Lineage: Bacteria; Bacillati; Bacillota
Description: bacterial SSU rRNA
Rfam family: Bacterial small subunit ribosomal RNA
Source: RNAcentral